UUUCCGUAGGUGAACCUGCGGAAGGAUCAUUAUUGUAUAACCGAGGUGCGAGGGCUGUCGCUGACCCGAAAGGUCGUGCACGCCCGAGUGCCCUCACACACAUCCAUCUCACCCCUAUGUGCACCACCGCGUGGGUCCCCCUUUGGCUUGUUCGGAGGGGGGCUUACGUUUUCACACAAACUUUGUAUGCAGUGUAGCAUGUAUUUUUUGUUUUUGCGAUCACGCAAUCAAUACAACUUUCAACAACGGAUCUCUUGGCUCUCACAUCGAUGAAGAACGCAGC
RNAcentral lists this unclassified non-coding RNA (283 nucleotides) under plant metagenome. Its description in RNAcentral is "partial contains small subunit ribosomal RNA, internal transcribed spacer 1, and 5.8S ribosomal RNA". The stretch from base 235 to 283 matches the Rfam family "5.8S ribosomal RNA", at positions 1 to 49 of the family's 154-position model. The record is from RNAcentral.